RNAcentral lists this ribosomal RNA (463 nucleotides) under uncultured bacterium. RNAcentral's name for it is "partial 16S ribosomal RNA". It matches the Rfam family "Bacterial small subunit ribosomal RNA", at positions 28 to 507 of the family's 1533-position model. The record is from RNAcentral.
GAUGAACGCUGACAGAAUGCUUAACACAUGCAAGUCGAUGGGGAAGUGGUGCUUGCACCAUGGCAACCAUGGCGGACGGGUGAGUAACGCGUAAGGGACUUACCUGCAGGACUGGGAUAACAGGGGGAAACUCCUGACAAGACCGGAUAAUGUCAUGGAGCUGCAUGGCUUUAUGAUGAAAGGAGACGCCUGCGGAGAGCCUUGCGUCCUAUUAGCUAGUUGGUGAGGUAAUGGCUCACCAAGGCGAAGAUAGGUAGCCGGCCUGAGAGGGUGGACGGCCACAAGGGGACUGAGAUACGGCCCUUACUCCUACGGGAGGCAGCAGUGGGGAAUAUUGGACAAUGGGGGCAACACUGAUCCAGCAAUUCUGUGUGCACGAAGAAGGUUUUCGGAGUGUAAAGUGCUUUCAGCAGGGAAGAAGUAAGUGACGGUACCUGCAGAAGAAGCGACGGCUAAAUACGUG